Molecule: ribosomal RNA, 418 nt
Filed under: uncultured Succinivibrio sp.
Lineage: Bacteria; Pseudomonadati; Pseudomonadota; Gammaproteobacteria; Aeromonadales; Succinivibrionaceae
Description: bacterial SSU rRNA
Rfam family: Bacterial small subunit ribosomal RNA
Source: RNAcentral
UGAGGAAUAUUGGUCAAUGGGCGCAGGCCUGAACCAGCCAAGUCGCGUGAGGGAAGACGGUCCUACGGAUUGUAAACCUCUUUUGUCGGGGAGUAACGUGCGGGACGGGUCCCGUAUUGAGAGUACCCGAAGAAAAAGCAUCGGCUAACUCCGUGCCAGCAGCCGCGGUAAUACGGAGGGUGCAAGCGUUAAUCGGAAUAACUGGGCGUAAAGGGCAUGCAGGCGGUUCAUCAAGUAGGAUGUGAAAUCCCCCGGGCUCAACCUGGGAACAGCAUACUAAACUGGUGGACUAGAGUAUUGCAGGGGGAGACGGAAUUCCAGGUGUAGCGGUGGAAUGCGUAGAUAUCUGGAAGAACACCAAAGGCGAAGGCAGUCUCCUGGGCAAAUACUGACGCUCAUAUGCGAAAGCGUGGGUAGC